CAACAGUUUCAGACUCCUGAAGAGAUCAUUUACAUUGAGCCAACAUUCACAGAAGUCAAGCGCAUAAAACAAAUGUAAAAGAGGAAGCUCAAGUAGAGUAUGCACCAAUUGCCAUGAGAAGAUAACAUAUUUUUUCUAAGUACCAGACCUGACAAGCAAGUUCUUUAAAAAUUAUAAAUGAGUAUUGGGAUUGUUGACAAUCACUACAUGUAGUAUCUAAAGUCCUGUUCACACCGGCAGUGACUAAAACCAUGCACUUUUCCACGAUUUCCAAUAAAUGACAGGCUUGCACGCAGAAGUUUUGGAUCUGUUGUAAACUUCGGAUGCAAUUAAAUAUUUUCCGAGUACUGUGAA
Molecule: long non-coding RNA, 354 nt
Organism: Cyprinus carpio (common carp)
Lineage: Eukaryota; Metazoa; Chordata; Actinopteri; Cypriniformes; Cyprinidae
Source: RefSeq, a predicted model, not a curated record